Molecule: ribosomal RNA, 226 nt
Filed under: uncultured bacterium
Lineage: Bacteria
Description: partial 16S ribosomal RNA
Rfam family: Bacterial small subunit ribosomal RNA
Source: RNAcentral
GAUCCUGGCUCAGGAUGAACGCUAGCUACAGGCUUAACACAUGCAAGUCGAGGGGCAGCAUGGUCUUAGCUUGCUAAGGCCGAUGGCGACCGGCGCACGGGUGAGUAACACGUAUCCAACCUGCCGUCUACUCUUGGACGAGCCUUCUGAAAGGAAGAUUAAUACAAGAUGGCAUCAUGAGGUCCGCAUGUUCACAUGAUUAAGGUAUUCCGGUAGACGAUGGGGU